This 358-nucleotide ribosomal RNA is filed under the name uncultured bacterium. RNAcentral describes it as "bacterial SSU rRNA". It matches the Rfam family "Bacterial small subunit ribosomal RNA", at positions 1127 to 1482 of the family's 1533-position model. The record is from RNAcentral.
UAAGCUGGGCACUCUGCGGAGACUGCCGGUGAUAAACCGGAGGAAGGUGGGGAUGACGUCAAGUCAGCAUGGCCCUUAUGUCUGGGGCUACACACGUGCUACAAUGGCAGAUACAAACCGUCGCGAGACCGCAAGGUGGAGCUAAUCGGAGAAAGUCUGUCUCAGUUCGGAUUGCAGGCUGCAACUCGCCUGCAUGAAGUUGGAAUCGCUAGUAAUCGCGGAUCAGCACGCCGCGGUGAAUACGUUCCCGGGCCUUGUACACACCGCCCGUCACAUCACGAAAGCUGGCUGUACUAGAAGUCGCCGCGCUAACCCGCAAGGGAGGCAAGCGCCUAAGGUAUGGUUAGUGAUUGGGGUG